Molecule: long non-coding RNA, 707 nt
Organism: Antechinus flavipes (yellow-footed antechinus)
Lineage: Eukaryota; Metazoa; Chordata; Mammalia; Dasyuromorphia; Dasyuridae
Exons: 3
Source: RefSeq, a predicted model, not a curated record
CUUGAACUGAGGCAUCCAGUACAGAAAGAUCUCUAAGGAAAAAGCUUUAAGCUCCAGAUGUCAAGAGGAGACUAAAAAGAGAGAAUCUCCAGUGUCCUCACAGACACUAAAGACAAUUUUGUCUCCAGCACUACUUGGACAGGGAACGAAUACCUAUUACUGAUUUCAGAGGAGAGGAGAUGAAAGCUGUCUGCUCCUUUCUCUUCAGCCAGAACCUCCCGCACAGACAUGUCACCCAGUUUAAUCUAACAGGCAGUAGACACCCAUUCUCCUGCUUCCCAUACUCCUUUCCAUUCCCUCUCUGUAAUAUACUGUAUAAAGAUUUUUCAAUUAAGCUGUAUGAAUACUCAUUUUGGAUGUUCCUAUCUAUGUAGAUGAGAGAUUGUGGUAGAAGUUCUUGAGGGCUUCAUAUAUGCGAUUCUUAAAAGAUAAUCAAAGUUUAAUAAAUAAUUAUUGACUGUUGAUUGACUGAUAGAUAUUAAGAACAUUUCCAUCUCCUGACACUACCUGAGGCCCACUUCCAGGCAGACCUCACUAUGGAAAAACAACACCGAUUCUAAGAGAAGGAAAAGAGGAAUAAGAUUAAGCUGAGUGUUAAAUAUUCAAGGUCAAAGUACAAAGGUGGGGAACCUCUGAUUGUGGCUGAGUUUUUUCAAAUUAGAUAUAUUUAUGAGGAUACUUUUAUCACACCUUUAAAAAUCCUCAAA